Molecule: ribosomal RNA, 468 nt
Filed under: uncultured bacterium
Lineage: Bacteria
Description: partial 16S ribosomal RNA
Rfam family: Bacterial small subunit ribosomal RNA
Source: RNAcentral
GACGAACGCUGGCGGCGUGCUUAACACAUGCAAGUCGAACGGAAAGGCCCUGCUUUUGUGGGGUGCUCGAGUGGCGAACGGGUGAGUAACACGUGAGUAACCUGCCCUUGACUUUGGGAUAACUUCAGGAAACUGGGGCUAAUACCGGAUAGGAGCUCCUGCUGCAUGGUGGGGGUUGGAAAGUUUCGGCGGUUGGGGAUGGACUCGCGGCUUGUCAGCUUGUUGGUGGGGUAGUGGCUUACCAAGGCUUUGACGGGUAGCCGGCCUGAGAGGGUGACCGGCCACAUUGGGACUGAGAUACGGCCCAGACUCCUACGGGAGGCAGCAGUGGGGAAUAUUGCACAAUGGGCGGAAGCCUGAUGCAGCAACGCCGCGUGCGGGAUGACGACCUUCGGGUUGUAAACCGCUUUCGCCUGUGACGAAGCGUGAGUGACGGUAAUGGGUAAAGAAGCACCGGCUAACUACGUG